This is a long non-coding RNA of Bos taurus (domestic cattle), 1154 nucleotides long. The record is from Ensembl. Lineage: Eukaryota; Metazoa; Chordata; Mammalia; Artiodactyla; Bovidae.
UGGGGGGUGUACUCAUGAACACGCAAAGGUCUACUGGAUGCUGUGCUUCCACCGGACCACACUGUGGUAGAUGUCUUCCACUUGCCCCUCCAGACCACCUCCCCACCCUCCGGCCAUGCCCAGUGUCCUGCAAUGCUGACCUUUGUGAAUGGGCUCAUCCAAGGCUACUUUGCCCUGGCUUCUGGUCAGGUUCAGCCAAUGGAAGGCACUGGGAGCAGGAAGUUAUUGCUUCCUCGAACUUGCAGUGAGUUGUCUAAUUCUCCUAACAAAGGCUGCAGCUCUGACCAGGUGGCCGUAUUCUAACCACUUCAGCACUUGUGCCUUCAGGUCUAGGAGAGAUGAAGCCUGCUCACCCUGGGAUUCCUCACCACUUGCAGGUUCUUUACCACUAGGGCCACCUGGGAAGCUCCCAAUCAUCUAUGCUGACCAGUAACUCCACCCCAGCCCUGCCAAUACUCAAUCAGAGAGAAGCUGUGCAGUGACCUUGGACAAGGUGUUUGUUGCCUCUCGUCGGAUCUAUCAGAGUCCUCAGGCUCCUAGAACAGCUCCUGCCUCAUCAAAUCCCUCCCAGUUGAGAUGGCUUCUAAACUCCAUCACCAGCUUCCUCAAUGCAGAUGGAAAACAUUCUGGAGUUGUUGAAUCCGGCAGUGAAAAUCUCACCUUUUAAUCAUACUUCAUCACUGACGGGGAGAACUUUCUUCCAAACCUGGCCCUCUGCCCAGCGGGGUCCAGAGCCAGCGUGUGACUGGCGCAAGAUGGAGUUCUGUAAUGGAUUAACAGGAGAGUUGCAUUUAAUAAAAGCCAAAGAACUUCUGAACACACAUGUUGGAGGAGAAAAGAAGCAAGUUAGAGCUCAGCAACUGACAGACAUAGCGCAUGGGGUGGGCGUUGGGGAGAAGAUGGUUCUCUCAGGACCAUAGGCACAAGGUCCUAAGGGCCAAGAAGGAAUCCUUGCUAGGAGGUAAUAUUAUUGUGCUGUGUGUUCAGUUAUGUCCAACUCUUGGUGACUCCACGGACUGUAGCCCACCAGGCUCCUCUGUCCGUGAAAUUUUCCAGGCUAGAAUACCGGAGUGGAUUGCCAUUUCCUUACUUCAGGGGAUCUUCCUGACCCAGGGAUCAAAUCUGUCUCUUGCAUCUCCUGCUGUGGCAGGUAG